This 1264-nucleotide ribosomal RNA is filed under the name uncultured bacterium. RNAcentral describes it as "bacterial SSU rRNA". It matches the Rfam family "Bacterial small subunit ribosomal RNA", at positions 126 to 1401 of the family's 1533-position model. The record is from RNAcentral.
CUGCCCUUAACUUCGGGAUAAGCCUGGGAAACCGGGUCUAAUACCGGAUACGACGGAUUCCCGCAUGGGGGUCCGUGGAAAGCUUGAUGCGGUUUUGGAUGGACUCGCGGCCUAUCAGCUAGUUGGUUGGGGUAAUGGCCCACCAAGGCGACGACGGGUAGCCGGCCUGAGAGGGUGACCGGCCACACUGGGACUGAGACACGGCCCAGACUCCUACGGGAGGCAGCAGUGGGGAAUAUUGCACAAUGGGCGAAAGCCUGAUGCAGCGACGCCGCGUGAGGGACGAAGGCCUUCGGGUUGUAACCUCUUUCAGCAGGGAAGAAGCGAAAGUGACGGUACCUGCAGAAGAAGCGCCGGCUAACUACGUGCCAGCAGCCGCGGUAAUACGUAGGGCGCAAGCGUUAUCCGGAAUUAUUGGGCGUAAAGAGCUCGUAGGCGGUUUGUCGCGUCUGCUGUGAAAGCCCGGGGCUCAACCCCGGGUCUGCAGUGGGUACGGGCAGACUAGAGUGCAGUAGGGGAGACUGGAAUUCCUGGUGUAGCGGUGAAAUGCGCAGAUAUCAGGAGGAACACCGAUGGCGAAGGCAGGUCUCUGGGCUGUAACUGACGCUGAGGAGCGAAAGCAUGGGGAGCGAACAGGAUUAGAUACCCUGGUAGUCCAUGCCGUAAACGUUGGGCACUAGGUGUGGGGGACAUUCCACGUUUUCCGCGCCGUAGCUAACGCAUUAAGUGCCCCGCCUGGGGAGUACGGCCGCAAGGCUAAAACUCAAAGGAAUUGACGGGGGCCCGCACAAGCGGCGGAGCAUGCGGAUUAAUUCGAUGCAACGCGAAGAACCUUACCAAGGCUUGACAUGAACCGGAAAGGCCUGGAAACAGGUCCCCCACUUGUGGCCGGUUUACAGGUGGUGCAUGGUUGUCGUCAGCUCGUGUCGUGAGAUGUUGGGUUAAGUCCCGCAACGAGCGCAACCCUCGUUCUAUGUUGCCAGCGGGUUAUGCCGGGGACUCAUAGGAGACUGCCGGGGUCAACUCGGAGGAAGGUGGGGGCGACGUCAAAUCAUCAUGCCCCUUAUGUCUUGGGCUUCACGCAUGCUACAAUGGCCGGUACAAAGGGUUGCGAUACUGUGAGGUGGAGCUAAUCCCAAAAAGCCGGUCUCAGUUCGGAUUGAGGUCUGCAACUCGACCUCAUGAAGUUGGAGUCGCUAGUAAUCGCAGAUCAGCAACGCUGCGGUGAAUACGUUCCCGGGCCUUGCACUCACCGCCCGUCAAG